GGGGUUGAGGCUCAGUGGUAGAGCACUCACCUUGCACGAGUGAGGCACUGGGUUCAAUCUUCAGCACCACA
RNAcentral lists this transfer RNA (71 nucleotides) under Marmota monax (woodchuck). RNAcentral's name for it is "tRNA.Ala". The record is from RNAcentral. Lineage: Eukaryota; Metazoa; Chordata; Mammalia; Rodentia; Sciuridae.